CAUUGAAUUACCAUCAAAACUACCUUACAAAAGGAGGAAACAAGGAGGAAAUUAAAGAUACAUACUUUACACGGAAGAAAGGAAAUUAAAAUCAACCAAUACAGUGCAUGAGUCUAUACUUUGGUUCACUUUCAGAAUACAAAAUCAGCAGUAAGAAACAAAGAAUGUGUUUACAGCUAAAAUAAAAAUGCAAGACUUGGUGGGUUAGAUCAGGGCCCAAAGCUGUUAAGUGUAUAUUAAAGAAGGAAGGUCAAGAAGAAGGGAUGCAAGGAGUCAACUGCAAACGAAGAAGGAAAGGAAAGUUUCAGAAUUAAACAGCUGGAGUUGAUUAACUGGGAGGUUAAACUGCUAGAGGAUAAGAGGAAAGCACAGCCACAUGGGACUGAGAACAGAGGGAAUGAUCCAUCUUCAAUAUAAAUACGGAUUUUGGCAGAAAUCAGACGCAGUCAGUAUUUUAUCCAUUCAGCAGCAGUAGCUGGGGCUAGCUUGGCUAGUUUGGGAGAUUCCUCCUGGUUAUCUUGUUGGUUUAAUUAUUUCUAUUGUACUUCCUUUUCUGUUAAGAGCAGUAGAAGAAGAAGAGAGGAAUUGUAAUUGAAAGCUGCUGAGUUGUGUAAAGGCAAUUUGCCAAUAUUCAUUCAAUACAAAUUACAUUUCUCGAUUUCCAUUUUCUCAGUUUACAUUUCUGCAAUUGUUCCUAACUCAUCAGAUUGAUUGUCAACAUGUUCUACUGCUAAAAGGAG
Molecule: unclassified non-coding RNA, 740 nt
Filed under: Hevea brasiliensis (rubber tree)
Lineage: Eukaryota; Viridiplantae; Streptophyta; Magnoliopsida; Malpighiales; Euphorbiaceae
Source: RNAcentral